RNAcentral lists this long non-coding RNA (671 nucleotides) under Homo sapiens (human). Its description in RNAcentral is "HSALNT0308175". Lineage: Eukaryota; Metazoa; Chordata; Mammalia; Primates; Hominidae. The record is from RNAcentral.
UUUUAUUAUCCCUGCUUUAACAGAGGGAGGACUUGAAUCUCGAGUUAAAGUAAUUUGCUCAGGAUUGUAAGAUUAACCAGAUGGUGGUAAAAUAAAACUCAAUGUACCAAACUUUGGAUACAGAGCUGCUCAAGUUUUCCUAUAUUCUCCAGGUGGAAUGGGAGUGGGACUUUACCAGCUUCCGUGAGGUGAGCUCUGCCACCAAGAAAAGACUAGCAGCUUAAAGCAGUCACCUUCUAAGAACUCCAAACUGUCAGCUGUACAAAUGGCUUUAAAUUGAAAAUGAGCAGAAACUGCUGCAGCAGCUACUAGGGAAGCUCUUACUAGGUAAAACUGAAUGAGAAUGUAUGAGUGACUCUAGAAUAAAGAAAUUCAACUGUACAUACUUGGUAGUAGUCAUGUACAGGGGCAUAGAGAGGGGCUUUGGGAGUUAGAGAACUUGGGUUUAGGCAAUAAAGCUGUACAGCCUGAAAGAAUUUAGAAACAACAAUAAAAAGACCUAAGAUUUGGUCUGCUUUUUAUUAUCACUGUGCGCCAGCAGGUCUAGCAAUGUUAGUGAUAAGAUACUACUGCUACUGGGCAGAUGGCUCCCACUCCCUCUUUUACCUUGGUGCACCAUUGUCUAACAGGGAUAUUUUAAGGAUGGAAAGGACUGCAUAGAAAACCCUAAA